AGAACGAACGCUGGCGGCAUGCCUAACACAUGCAAGUCGAACGAGACCUUCGGGUCUAGUGGCGCACGGGUGCGUAACGCGUGGGAAUCUGCCCUUAGGUACGGAAUAACAGUGAGAAAUUACUGCUAAUACCGUAUGAUGUCUUCGGACCAAAGAUUUAUCGCCUAGGGAUGAGCCCGCGUAGGAUUAGCUAGUUGGUGGGGUAAAGGCCUACCAAGGCGACGAUCCUUAGCUGGUCUGAGAGGAUGAUCAGCCACACUGGGACUGAGACACGGCCCAGACUCCUACGGGAGGCAGCAGUGGGAAUAUUGGACAUGGGCGAAAGCCUGAUCCAGCAAUGCCGCGUGAGUGAAGAAGGCCUUCGGGUUGUAAAGCUCUUUUACCCGGGAAGAUAAUGACUGUACCGGGAGAAGUAAGCCCGGCUAACUCCGCGCCAGCAGCCGC
RNAcentral lists this ribosomal RNA (444 nucleotides) under uncultured bacterium. RNAcentral's name for it is "SSU rRNA". It matches the Rfam family "Bacterial small subunit ribosomal RNA", at positions 26 to 518 of the family's 1533-position model. The record is from RNAcentral.